UGGGGAAUAUUGCACAAUGGGGGAAACCCUGAUGCAGCAACGCCGCGUGAGUGAUGAAGGCCUUCGGGUUGUAAAGCUCUGUCUUCAGGGACGAUAAUGACGGUACCUGAGGAGGAAGCCACGGCUAACUACGUGCCAGCAGCCGCGGUAAUACGUAGGUGGCAAGCGUUGUCCGGAUUUACUGGGCGUAAAGGGAGCGUAGGCGGAUACUUAAGUGGGAUGUAAAAUACCUGGGCUUAACUUGGGUGCCGCAUUCCAAACUGGGUGUCUAGAGUGUUGGAGAGGACAGUGGAAUUCCUAGUGUAGCGGUGAAAUGCGUAGAGAUUAGGAAGAACACCAGUGGCGAAGGCGACUUUCUGGACAAUAACUGACGCUGAGGCUCGAAAGCGUGGGGAGCAAACA
Molecule: ribosomal RNA, 402 nt
Filed under: uncultured bacterium
Lineage: Bacteria
Description: bacterial SSU rRNA
Rfam family: Bacterial small subunit ribosomal RNA
Source: RNAcentral